This 483-nucleotide ribosomal RNA is filed under the name uncultured bacterium. RNAcentral's name for it is "partial 16S ribosomal RNA". It matches the Rfam family "Bacterial small subunit ribosomal RNA", at positions 28 to 507 of the family's 1533-position model. The record is from RNAcentral.
GACGAACGCUGGCGGCGUGCUUAACACAUGCAAGUCGAACGCUGAAGCUCAGCUUUUGUUGGGUGGAUGAGUGGCGAACGGGUGAGUAACACGUGAGUAACCUGCCUCCUUCUUUGGGAUAACGCCCGGAGACGGGUGCUAAUACUGGAUAUUCACUGGUCUUCGCAUGGGGGUUGGUUGAAAGGGUUUUUCUGGUGGGGGAUGGGCUCGCGGCCUAUCAGCUUGUUGGUGGGGUGAUGGCCUACCAAGGCUUUGACGGGUAGCCGGCCUGAGAGGGUGACCGGUCACAUUGGGACUGAGAUACGGCCCAGACUCCUACGGGAGGCAGCAGUGGGGAAUAUUGCACAAUGGGCGCAAGCCUGAUGCAGCGACGCCGCGUGAGGGAUGGAGGCCUUCGGGUUGUGAACCUCUUUCGCUCAUGGUCAAGCCGCAACAAUGGUUGUGGUGAGGGUAGUGGGUAAAGAAGCGCCGGCUAACUACGUG